RNAcentral lists this ribosomal RNA (497 nucleotides) under uncultured bacterium. RNAcentral's name for it is "partial 16S ribosomal RNA". It matches the Rfam family "Bacterial small subunit ribosomal RNA", at positions 28 to 507 of the family's 1533-position model. The record is from RNAcentral.
GACGAACGCUGGCGGCGUGCCUAAUACAUGCAAGUUGAGCGAUGAAGAUUGGUGCUUGCACCAAUUUGAAGAGCAGCGAACGGGUGAGUAACGCGUGGGGAAUCUGCCUUUGAGCGGGGGACAACAUUUGGAAACGAAUGCUAAUACCGCAUAAUAACUUUAAACAUAAGUUUUAAGUUUGAAAGAUGCAAUUGCAUCACUCAAAGAUGAUCCCGCGUUGUAUUAGCUAGUUGGUGAGGUAAAGGCUCACCAAGGCGAUGAUACAUAGCCGACCUGAGAGGGUGAUCGGCCACAUUGGGACUGAGACACGGCCCAAACUCCUACGGGAGGCAGCAGUAGGGAAUCUUCGGCAAUAGACGAAAGUCUGACCGAGCAACGCCGCGGGAGUGAAGAAGGUUUUCGGAUCGUAAAACUCUGUUGGUAGAGAAGAACGUUGGUGAGAGUGGAAAGCUCAUCAAGUGACGGUAACUACCCAGAAAGGGACGGCUAACUACGUG